RNAcentral lists this ribosomal RNA (253 nucleotides) under uncultured bacterium. RNAcentral's name for it is "partial 16S ribosomal RNA". It matches the Rfam family "Bacterial small subunit ribosomal RNA", at positions 524 to 776 of the family's 1533-position model. The record is from RNAcentral.
UACGAAGGGGGCAAGCGUUGUUCGGAUUUACUGGGCGUAAAGGGUGCGUAGGCGGUCUAAAAAGUUGGAUGUGAAAGCCCCGGGCUCAACCCGGGAAUAGCAUUCAAAACUGCUAGACUCGAGUGUGGAAGAGGAUGGUGGAAUUUCCAGUGUAGAGGUGAAAUUCGUAGAUAUUGGAAAGAACACCCGUGGCGAAGGCGGCCAUCUGGUCCAUAACUGACGCUGAGGCACGAAAGCGUGGGGAGCAAACAGG